CCUACGGGAGGCAGCAGUGAGGAAUAUUGGACAAUGGGCGCAAGCCUGAUCCAGCCAUGCCGCGUGCAGGAAGACGGUCCUAUGGAUUGUAAACUGCUUUUAUACAGGAAGAAACACCUCUACGUGUAGAGACUUGACGGUACUGUAUGAAUAAGCAUCGGCUAACUCCGUGCCAGCAGCCGCGGUAAUACGGAGGAUGCAAGCGUUAUCCGGAAUCAUUGGGUUUAAAGGGUCCGUAGGCGGUUUAAUAAGUCAGUGGUGAAAGCCCAUCGCUCAACGAUGGAACGGCCAUUGAUACUGUUAAACUUGAAUUAUUAGGAAGUAACUAGAAUAUGUAGUGUAGCGGUGAAAUGCUUAGAGAUUACAUGGAAUACCAAUUGCGAAGGCAGGUUACUACUAAUAUAUUGACGCUGAUGGACGAAAGCGUGGGGAGCGAACAGGAUUAGAUACCCUGGUAGUCCACGCCGUAAACGAUGGAUACUAGCUGUUCGGAGCAAUCUGAGUGGCUAAGCGAAAGUGAUAAGUAUCCCACCUGGGGAGUACGUUCGCAAGAAUGAAACUUAAAGGAAUUGACCGGNUGAGAGAGCGAGACGACGACGAGGGAGGAGG
RNAcentral lists this ribosomal RNA (609 nucleotides) under uncultured bacterium. Its description in RNAcentral is "bacterial SSU rRNA". It matches the Rfam family "Bacterial small subunit ribosomal RNA", at positions 338 to 951 of the family's 1533-position model. The record is from RNAcentral.